AGGGAAUCUUCCGCAAUGGACGAAAGUCUGACGGAGCAACGCCGCGUGAGUGAUGAAGGUUUUCGGAUCGUAAAGCUCUGUUGCCAGGGAAGAACGUCUUCUGGAGUAACUGCCAGGAGAGUGACGGUACCUGAGAAGAAGGCCCCGGCUAACUACGUGCCAGCAGCCGCGGUAAUACGUAUGGGGCAAGCGUUGUCCGGAAUUAUUGGGCGUAAAGCGCGCGCAGGCGGCUGUUUAAGUCUGGUGUGUAAGCCUGGGGCUCAACCCCGGGGCGCACUGGAAACUGGACGGCUUGAGUGCAGAAGAGGAGAGUGGAAUUCCACGUGUAGCGGUGAAAUGCGUAGAGAUGUGGAGGAACACCAGUGGCGAAGGCGACUCUCUGGGCUGUAACUGACGCUGAGGCGCGAAAGCGUGGGGAGCAAAC
RNAcentral lists this ribosomal RNA (424 nucleotides) under uncultured bacterium. Its description in RNAcentral is "bacterial SSU rRNA". It matches the Rfam family "Bacterial small subunit ribosomal RNA", at positions 356 to 773 of the family's 1533-position model. The record is from RNAcentral.